GGUCAAGUUAUUAAGGGUGCAGGGCGGAUGCCUUGGCACUAGGAGCCGAUGAAGGACGUGAUAAGCUGCGAUAAGCUUCGGGGAGUUGCACGUAAACUUUGAUCCGAAGAUUUCCGAAUGAGGAAACUCACUUAGAGUAAUGUCUAAGUAUCAUUAAGUGAAUACAUAGCUUAAUGAGGGGAACUCAGGGAACUGAAACAUCUAAGUACCUGAAGGAAGAGAAAGAAAUUCGAUUCCGUAAGUAGCGGCGAGCGAACGCGGAUUAGCCCAAACCAAUAAAGUUUUCUUUAUUGGGGUUGCGGACAUAUCAUAACGAAGAGGUAUCGUAAUUGAAGAGGUUUGGAAAGACCCACCACAGAAGGUAAUAGUCCUGUAUGUUAAACGAGAAGACUUUAGAUAUGAUCCAGAGUACCACGGGACACGUGAAACCCUGUGGGAAGCAGGAGGGACCACCCUCCAAGGCUAAAUACUACCUAGUGACCGAUAGCGUAUAGUACCGUGAGGGAAAGGUGAAAAGAACC
Molecule: ribosomal RNA, 521 nt
Filed under: Clostridioides difficile
Lineage: Bacteria; Bacillati; Bacillota; Clostridia; Peptostreptococcales; Peptostreptococcaceae
Description: partial 23S ribosomal RNA
Rfam family: Bacterial large subunit ribosomal RNA
Source: RNAcentral